AUUGAACGCUGGCGGCAUGCCUUACACAUGCAAGUCGAACGGCAGCACGGGUGCAAAGGGUAACCAAUGCGCCUGGUGGCGAGUGGCGAACGGGUGAGUAAAAUAUCGGAACGUACCCAGUAGAGGGGGAUAACUCGCUGAAAGGUGAGCUAAUACCGCAUACGCCCUGAGGGGGAAAGUGGGGGAUCGCAAGACCUCACGUUAUUGGAGCGGCCGAUAGCUGAUUAGCUAGUUGGAGGGGUAAAGGCCCACCAAGGCGACGAUCAGUAGCUGGUCUGAGAGGACGGCCAGCCACACUGGAACUGAGAGACGGACCAGACUCCUACGGGAGGCAGCAGUGGGGAAUUUUGGACAAUGGGGGCAACCCUGAUCCAGCAAUGCCGCGUGAGUGAAGAAGGCCCUCGGGGUUGUAAAGCUCUUUUUGUUGGGGAAGAAAAGGUGUUCGCUAAUAUCGGACACUAAUGACGGUACCCGAAGAAUAAGCACCGGCUAACUACGUGCCAGCAGCCGCGGUAAU
Molecule: ribosomal RNA, 517 nt
Filed under: uncultured bacterium
Lineage: Bacteria
Description: bacterial SSU rRNA
Rfam family: Bacterial small subunit ribosomal RNA
Source: RNAcentral